Non-coding RNA from Cucurbita pepo subsp. pepo (vegetable marrow), 764 nucleotides. The record is from RefSeq and is a predicted model, not a curated record. NCBI's taxonomy places the organism in Eukaryota, Viridiplantae, Streptophyta, Magnoliopsida, Cucurbitales, Cucurbitaceae.
CAGAUAGCUCGAGGGAAGGUGCUCUCACGAAUCGCACCUUCCUAUUUCGACAAAACGUUCAAGAACUUCAGGUUAGUCCACGAGUAUCUACAUUGAGAAGUCAUCAAGAUUUUCGUGUGCUAGCAACGUUUUGUGUUGAUCCUUGGACUCUUACCCUCAACAGCGCUAUCUGGUUAAGUUCUAAAGUGAAGGCGGCCAAGAUCGGCGUUCGAAUCGGAGUUUAAAGAUAACGUGAUUUUCGGAGAGAGAAGGCAUCGCCGCCACGCGUCAGCCGCCGUACGGAGGAGCGCGGUAGGACCGACGACCGACACGUGGCGACCGCGGGCUGGGGAAACGCAUCAGGCGUGCGCAACCAGGUCGGCCCGAGUCUGAACCGGCGCUCCGCACGCGAACCGAACUGCCCGAGACCGCUCUGACCUGUCCGAACCGACCCGUCUCGACCCGCAACUGCACAGAAAGAAGCACGUAAAAAGCCGCGCGUAAAACACCCUCUAGAGCGCGUGCAGGCGCGUGUAGGCGCGACCUGUCAAGGAAAUUCCAGAAUUUUUGGAACCUUUUCCGGCAAAUAAUUCGAGCUUGGGAAGGCACGCGUCAACCAAGUAAGUAGCCAUUUGGAUUCCCACGAGCAGUACUUGUAGGAACCGCUAGGAACAAGCAUGCAUGCUACCACCUAUGAAAUUAGCUAGCCGGACUUAGCGUGUUAUUAUAGAAACUGCGAAUAUAAGAUGAUUAUGGAAAGCUAGAUACAAAAUGUGUAUUAAAUC